GAUGAACGCUGGCGGCGUGCUUAACACAUGCAAGUCGAACGAGAAGUGAAGACGGAAACCUUCGGGCGGAAGGCUUUAUUUCGAGUGGCGGACGGGUGAGUAACGCGUGGGUAACCUGCCUCAUACAGGGGGAUAACAGUUGGAAACGACUGUUAAUACCGCAUAAGACCACAGCACCGCAUGGUGCGGGGGUAAAAACUCCGGUGGUAUGAGAUGGACCCGCGUUCGAUUAGCCAGUUGGCGGGGUAACGGCCCACCAAAGCGACGAUCGAUAGCCGAUCUGAGAGGAGGACCGGACACAUUGGGACUGAGACCCGGCCCAAACUCCUACGGGAGGCAGCGGUGGGGAAUAUUGCAAAAUGGGGGAAACCCUGAUGCAGCGACGCCGCGUGAGUGAAGAAGUAUUUCGGUAUGUAAAGCUCUAUCAGCAGGGAAGAAAAUGACGGUACCUGAGUAAGAAGCCCCGGCUAACUACGUG
This 478-nucleotide ribosomal RNA is filed under the name uncultured bacterium. RNAcentral's name for it is "partial 16S ribosomal RNA". It matches the Rfam family "Bacterial small subunit ribosomal RNA", at positions 28 to 507 of the family's 1533-position model. The record is from RNAcentral.